AACGAACGCUGGCGGCAGGCUUAACACAUGCAAGUCGAGCGCCCCGAAAGGGGAGUGGCAGACGGGUGAGUAACGCGUGGGAAUGUGCCCUUUGGUCUGGAAUAACUCAGGGAAACUUGAGCUAAUACCGGAUAAGCCCUCCGGGGGAAAGCUUUACUGCCAUCGGAGCAGCCCGCUUCAGAUUAGCUAGUUGGUGAGGUAAAAGCUCACCAAGGCGUUGAUCUGUAGCUGGUCUGAGAGGACGACCAGCCACACUGGGACUGGGACACGGCCCAGACUCCUACGGGAGGCAGCAGUGGGGAAUAUUGGACAAUGGGGGCAACCCUGAUCCAGCCAUGCCGCGUGAGUGAUGAAGGCCUGAGGGUUGUAAAGCUCUUUUACUCGGGAAGAUAAUGACUGUACCGAGAGAAUAAGCCCCGGCUAACUUCGUGCCAGCCGCCGCCGUAA
RNAcentral lists this ribosomal RNA (447 nucleotides) under uncultured bacterium. RNAcentral's name for it is "partial 16S ribosomal RNA". It matches the Rfam family "Bacterial small subunit ribosomal RNA", at positions 29 to 523 of the family's 1533-position model. The record is from RNAcentral.